This 763-nucleotide ribosomal RNA is filed under the name Coprinopsis pannucioides. RNAcentral describes it as "eukaryotic LSU rRNA". It matches the Rfam family "Eukaryotic large subunit ribosomal RNA", at positions 131 to 881 of the family's 3401-position model. Lineage: Eukaryota; Fungi; Basidiomycota; Agaricomycetes; Agaricales; Psathyrellaceae. The record is from RNAcentral.
UGGCCAUCCGAGUUGUAAUCUAGAGAAGUGUUACCCGCGUCGGACCGUGUAAAAGUCUCCUGGAAUGGAGCGUCAUAGAGGGUGAGAAUCCCGUCUUUGACACGGACCACCGAGGCUUUGUGGUGCUCUCAAAGAGUCGAGUUGUUUGGGAAUGCAGCUCAAAAUGGGUGGUAAAUUCCAUCUAAAGCUAAAUAUUGGCGAGAGACCGAUAGCGAACAAGUACCGUGAGGGAAAGAUGAAAAGAACUUUGGAAAGAGAGUUAAACAGUACGUGAAAUUGCUGAAAGGGAAACGCUUGAAGUCAGUCACAUUGGCCAGAAAUCAGCCUUGCUUCUGCUAGGUGUACUUUCUGGUUGAUGGGCCAGCAUCAGUUUUGACCAAUGGAAAAAGACCAAAGGAAUGUGGCAUCUUCGGGUGUGUUAUAGCCUUUGGCUGUAUACAUUGGUUGGGACUGAGGAACUCAGCAUGCCGCAAGGCAGGGUAUUUGUUUACCACAUUCAUGCUUAGGAUGCUGGCAUAAUGGCUUUAAUCGACCCGUCUUGAAACACGGACCAAGGAGUCUAACAUGCCUGCGAGUGUUUGGGUGGAAAACCCAGACGCGUAAUGGAAAGUGAAAGUUAGAUCCUUGUCAUGGGGAGCAUCGACGCCCGGACCAGAAGUUUUCUGACGGCCCUGCGGUAGAGCAUGUAUGUUGGGACCCGAAAGAUGGUGAACUAUGCCUGAAUAGGGUGAAGCCAGAGGAAACUCUGGUGGAGGCUCGUAGC